AGUAUUUGGUCGUAGACCCGAAACCAGGUGAUCUACCCUUGGUCAGGUUGAAGUUCAGGUUACACUGAAUGGAGGACCGAACCGACUUACGUUGAAAAGUGAGCGGAUGAACUGAGGGUAGCGGAGAUAUUCCAAUCGAACCUGGAGAUAGCUGGUUCUCUCCGAAAUAGCUUUAGGGCUAGCCUCAAGUGAUGAUUAUUUGAGGUAGAGCACUGUUUGGACGAGGGGCCCCUCUCGGGUUACCGAAUUCAGACAAACUCCG
This 262-nucleotide ribosomal RNA is filed under the name Staphylococcus aureus. Its description in RNAcentral is "partial 23S ribosomal RNA". It matches the Rfam family "Bacterial large subunit ribosomal RNA", at positions 698 to 958 of the family's 2925-position model. Lineage: Bacteria; Bacillati; Bacillota; Bacilli; Caryophanales; Staphylococcaceae. The record is from RNAcentral.